This 89-nucleotide transfer RNA is filed under the name Actinomycetes bacterium. Its description in RNAcentral is "Actinobacteria bacterium tRNA-Ser". It matches the Rfam family "tRNA". From Rfam's summary of the family: Transfer RNA (tRNA) molecules are approximately 80 nucleotides in length. Their secondary structure includes four short double-helical elements and three loops (D, anti-codon, and T loops). Further hydrogen bonds mediate the characteristic L-shaped molecular structure. tRNAs have two regions of fundamental functional importance: the anti-codon, which is responsible for specific mRNA codon recognition, and the 3' end, to which the tRNAs corresponding amino acid is attached (by aminoacyl-tRNA synthetases). tRNAs cope with the degeneracy of the genetic code in two manners: having more than one tRNA (with a specific anti-codon) for a particular amino acid; and 'wobble' base-pairing, i.e. permitting non-standard base-pairing at the 3rd anti-codon position. RNAcentral also lists the same sequence under 3 other names. The record is from RNAcentral. Lineage: Bacteria; Bacillati; Actinomycetota; Actinomycetes.
GGAGGCAUCGCCUAGUCAGGUCUAUGGCGCGGGAUUGCUAAUCCCGUUGGGGCGCAAGCCCCUCGCGCGUUCGAAUCGCGCUGCCUCCG